CUCUUGUCGCCGGUGCGUUGUGCCUGCAUCUUUGCUCCAGCUAAGCCAGCUCCUCUAGGCCUCUGGCUGCCCACCGCAGUGGGCUCUGGACUGGACUCUGGACCAUGCGUUGCUGGGUUUGCUGCUGUGAUGAUGGAGGUGCUGCUUUUGUCUGUCUGAUGUUUAUACUUUGUGGGUGUGGAGUGUGCUAGGAACAUCUCAUAUGUGCCAGGAACUGGCUCUUUGGAAAAGUCAGUCCAGGUUAGAAACAUAGACUGUGGCCGGGCAUAGUGGCUCACGCCUAUAAUCCCAGCACUUUGGGAAGCCAAGGUGGGCAGAUCUCUUGACUUGAGGUCAGGAGUUCGAGACCGGCCUGGCCAACAUUGUGAAACCCCAUCUCUACUAAAAAUACAAAAAUUAGCCAGGCAUGGUGGUGCAUGCCUGUAGUUCCAGCUAUCCGGGAGGCUGAGGCACGGGAAUUGCUUGAACCCUGGAGACAGAGGUUGCAGUGAGCCAAGAUCACGCCACUGCACUCCAGGACUGUAUCAAGUUCACUCCAAAAGUGGAGAAGAGCCAUCUGGACUGCAACUGCCACCAAGGGAAGCCACACUUCAGCCAAGUGGGGCCCUCCACCUAAGGCCGAGCAUGGUGUCACACAGCUGUAGCCGUUAGGAAUGUCUCUGGAUGCAAUGAAUAGAAAAUCUACAUAUCAGAGGCUGAAGCAAUAAGAGGCAGCAGCGUGGAACCGCAUCACACGGCCACCCCCAGUUGCAACAGAGACUGGGAAGGUGGAGUAUCAGAUGGAAAUCCUAUUGUCAGGACCCAGGCUGAGCAUGCUGCCUCCCCACACGAAACCAGACUUCUGUUAGCAAGAAAGAUACAAGAUCGCCGGCCACUAUGGUUAUUGACAUGUUGUGCUGUCAUCUUCCAAAAACUGACGAGGGCCAGGUGCGGUGGCACACACCUGUAAUCCCAACAUCCUGGAGGCUGAGGCAAGAGGAUCACUUGAGGCCAGGACUUUGAGACUAGCUUGGGCAACAUAGCGAGACCCCCAUCUCUACAAAAAAUAAAAAUAAAAAUUUUAAUAAAAAAAAUAGCCGAGCAUA
Molecule: long non-coding RNA, 1085 nt
Filed under: Homo sapiens (human)
Lineage: Eukaryota; Metazoa; Chordata; Mammalia; Primates; Hominidae
Description: non-protein coding lnc-TRMT112-2:5
Source: RNAcentral